Molecule: ribosomal RNA, 253 nt
Filed under: uncultured bacterium
Lineage: Bacteria
Description: partial 16S ribosomal RNA
Rfam family: Bacterial small subunit ribosomal RNA
Source: RNAcentral
UACGUAGGGUGCGAGCGUUAAUCGGAAUUACUGGGCGUAAAGCGUGCGCAGGCGGUUUUGUAAGACCGAUGUGAAAUCCCCGGGCUUAACCUGGGAAUGGCAUUUGGGACUGCAAGGCUGGAGUGCGGCAGAGGAGACUGGAAUUCCUGGUGUAGCAGUGAAAUGCGUAGAGAUGCGGAGGAACACCGAUGGCGAAGGCAGCCCCCUGGGCUAGCACUGACGCUCAGGCACGAAAGCGUGGGGAGCAAACAGG